This is a long non-coding RNA of Drosophila virilis, 4132 nucleotides long. RefSeq lists it as uncharacterized. The record is from RefSeq and is a predicted model, not a curated record. NCBI's taxonomy places the organism in Eukaryota, Metazoa, Arthropoda, Insecta, Diptera, Drosophilidae.
GCUGUGAGGAAGAGAAUUGUGAAGAUCAAAUUUAAAUAAAAAGCUUGCAAAGAGCGCUAGCAAGAUGCAGAAGACACGUUCGACCCCCCUUAAGUGGUGGAAUUGGCUAAUAUCGGAUAAAUGCGAUCAAUGUAUCACUUAGUUUCCAAAGAUCGGGCGAUAGCAAAGUGGAUGUGUGAAAGACAUUUUGAUUUUCUAAAAAAUCCCCCCGUUAUGCUCUUAAUAUUCGGGCAAAAUCUUAUCAACAACGGACUUCCAUAUCAUUGAGUUUCAAUAGGAAGAAUUGGUCAGUUUGCAAUGAUAACCUUUGGCACCGCGAACAUAAUUGUACUCAUUUGUUAAGACUUAGCAACGUACAUGGGCCUGCCACCGGAAAGUUUGGUAACCAAAUCGAGGAAGAAACCUGGUAUGAAAUGGAAUAGUAUAGCACCAAGACGAAACAGCAUCAAACUCCUAACCAAGCGCAGAUUGGGAUACCAGACGGCGCUGUUGAGUGGAUAAUCAUGCAAAUAACCAUUAAUUUUGUCCUUCAAAAACUCGAAACGGAAUGGCUUGUAUGUGCUUGAUGUCAGAUGGAAAAUCUGCAGCUCUGCGGGACGAUCCCCAUUCUUCACUCUGCAAUGAGAUGGAAAUGUUAGCUUGCAGAAUAAGCCCAUGCAAUAAUACCUACUUAAGCGAAUUGACGUAGUAGCCCGUGGUUAUAAUGCCAUUUACCACCACAUCGAUGGGAAUGUAGUCCAUAAUAAUAGUGGGAUCGAGUGGUAAACGACGCAAAAUGCCCUUGGAUGCGCCCAUGAAGAAACCCUGUGGUCCAUUCUUGGAUAUGGUCCAGCCAGGUAUUGGCUCCUUCCAAGCGGCUGUGACUGCAAUGAAUCGAAGGCUCUAUGAUAUCAAUAGCUUUGUGGUAAAUGGUAAAACUUACUCAUGCUGGGACGCACAAUGCCGCAGGGGAAUUGUGAGGCCACAUUGGCCACUUCAUGCUCUGCCAAAUGUUUUGUGAACGUGUAAGUGUUAGGAUGAUCCUUGAGCAAUCUGUAAAACGUAUUUAAAAUGUAUAACCUUCAGUAAUUUUAAAUACAUCAGCAACUUACUUAGGCUCCAACGCUUUAAGCGCCUCAUCGUUGAGCGUUUCCGCCAGCUGUAUAAUCUUUUCUGGAUCAUCGGGCGAGGGAUAUAGCUUCUCUUCCACCUCCGUAAUGUAUGCAUUUACAUAUGCGCUGGAAACAUGUACCAGGGCGUCCAAGUGGCGUAGCUGCUUGCAUAGUUCCACAACGCGACGUGUGCCACGCAAGUUAAUGUUCGUUGUCUCUUUCAGGGAUUGAAAAAAGUCAAGGGUGGCAGCUGAGUGGAACACCACGUUCACGUUUUCGAUAAGCGUUUCGCGAUCCUUUGCUGAAAUGCCCAAGUGCUCCAAGCCGACAUCGCCCUCAAUGGGCACAAUCUUGGAUAGGCGCGCUUCCAGCUGCAGCUCCUUGAAGCGAUCAAACACUGAGUUCUUCUUCAGCUCCUCCAGACGCUCCUGCACACUCUUGCCCUUCUUGGCGCGCAUCAGCAGGUACAGAGUGCCCACAUUGGGCACAUCUCGCAGCAGCUUCUCAACUAUGGUGACGCCCACAAAGCCAGUGGCGCCCGUAAUAAAAACAUUGCGACCCGCAUAGAAAUCUGCGAUGGGCGAGCUGCAUGGAUUCUCUUGCAUAAGAGGAAAACUUUCCCCACGUUCAAUCGUUGCUUUGAUUAUGACAACAAAAUGCGCCUGCGCAGCAGCAAAUUCGAGUUAGGAGCGUACAACAAGUUCGUCGCAUUUCUCCCAACGUAGUGCUCCAACGUCCAAAGCUCAAAACAAGUUUUUUUUUUAUAUGGUAAUAGCUAUGGGAUAUCAUAUAUGUGAGUUCUAGCUGCUAUCGGCUCCAGUGUUUAUCCAACUAACGACUACUCCUAGGCGGCCUUUUAACGAGCUGUGGGCGUGUUGAUUUUAGCGUACAGAAAUAGCGAAAAAAUCAAUGGCAAAAGUAUUAUGAUAUAAGUGGGAUCAUAGAAGUUCAAACACUUGAAACGAUGUGAAAAUUUGAAGUACUAAUAGGGGAAAAAAAUGCCAUUAAGCAGCCUAAGAUAAAACUAAGCUGUAAUAGCUAAGCUGCUAUAGAACCAGAAAAAAAGGUAGAUUGGGGUUGCAAAAAAAGGCAAACAUGUACCUAUAUUCUAUAGCUUGUAUCUGGGCUUUUAAUAUUGUCCAGCAUUGACCGGAAGUCAACAAAUCAGACUUUGAAUCAAUGCUGAAUAUUAUCUUUAUAUCUUGUACACCACUUGUGACUAGAUAAUAAUUUCUACUCUUUUUUUUUUUUACCAAAAUCGUGUUUUUCGAGUUAGGUUCAAUGUGGGAUCGUAGUCUCCUGCGUUUCCUAUGCAUUAAAUAUAUCGUGACAAUAUUAUAAUAACCUCUGCAAGCUCUGGUAUAAUAACUAGACAAAUUCACACAAAUGAACAUCAAAGUUGCAUAUGUUAGUAGUAAGUAGGUCAUUUAGGUUGUAAGAUGCUCUGGAUAAGACCCAAGACUUGUGUUUUUUUUUUUUUCAAAACACGCAACAGCAAUUUUAAUUAGCUAAUUUCGAACAUCGCUUUGUUUUUGGCCCUAAUGAUGCUCUAGUCGUUGUUUCUCCAACAUGUCUCCGGCUUGUCUACGCUGCGGCUGGACGUGGCAAAUGAUUUUAUAAUGAACAAAGCAAAUGAUUCGUGCGUAAUUUGCUUUUUGUUUGUUUGCUUUUUUUUCUUUCUCUAUUUAUUGUCUAUUGGCCCGCAAAUGGCAAUUGGCUGUUGUGGAUGUGUGCAAUCUUUAGCUUUAAUGGGCACUUGGUCAAUUUGCAUACUCUGUGCAAUUUUGAGGCCCUUCAGUUCAAAGCUCGGCCAGUUGCAGCUGCAGCUGCUGCCACACAAUGCAAGCUGCUGCGUCACGGCAUAAAUUUUGAUGUCCACUUCAGAUUCGGCUGAAACGCUUCGACUAGCUUGUCAACCAAAUGUAGCUUUCACUUUGCGCCACACUCAAGCGACCGCCUGGCAGCUGAACCAAAACUUAAUUUGGCACUCACCUGUGCUUCUAACGUGGCAACAACUUAGCAUAAAUUAAAAUUGUUGUUGCGGUUUUGGCUUGGCAAAUUUGCAAAUUUAAUUUUUCGUUUUUUGCCACGCAAGCCCUUAGCCAAUUUACUACUAGCUCUUGAGUUUUGUUAACUAUUUAUUCAAUUUUUAUUUAUUUAUUUUUUUUUAACGCUACAGUAAAUUGUGUUUUUAUCUUGAGUGGCGCAGUGCAGUGAUUAGAUUUUGGCUGAGGCUUUCAAGCUUGGCCAAGUGGAACACUUAUCUAUAGCAAUUAAUUGUGGGCGCUAUAAAUGGAACAAGUGCCCAGGCUGCCACUAGAAGUUUGAUUUAUGCAAACAGGUCAGUUAUGUGGCAUAGUUCCAUAAGACCAUUUAUAUAGUUUACAAAUCGGCAGCUUAAAAAUCGUAACUCUACGCCACCAAGUCAUGCCGGGUUCGUACAUCAACAGGAGCCGCUAUUAACUGAACAACCGUCUGGACAGAACCGACCUUGUUGCCGGCCAUAGAGACGGUCAUUAAUUGCUAUUUGUGGGCAUAAUUGCUGGUAAUGGAGCUUGUUUUGACUGGGCAUCCAUUGGGAUUGGGCACCAUUGGGUUUGGCGUGUUUUGUAUUUUUCCACUAGAGUUCCUGCUUCAUAUAUCAACAACGCCUCCAAGCAGCUUGAGGGUCUAUCGAGAUAGAGAUAUAGAGAGUGGAGAGAGAGAGAGAGAGAGAGAGAGAUAGAGAGAGAGAGAUGCUGGCAGAGCAACCAGUUCUCGCCAUUCAGAGUGCAGCAGAUGAUAUAUGUACAUAAUAUCAAGAGCUUGCGCUUUAGGUGUUGCGCAGGUCAAAGUUUAAGAGGCGUAUGGAAUGCGAGAAAAAUUAACUUUCAAUUUGUUCAACAAAUUCACGCUUCAGCUAAGUGCAUGUUAACAAUUUGAGAAAGCAUAUUGGUGUUUUAAAAUAUUUUGGGCAUUACACUUAAAGUCAAAAUGGGAUAUUAUUAAUAUUAGUUAUGAAACUGUUCUAGACUACAAAUAAAAUGAUGAUUGAAGAAAAA